CGCCAAAGAAGAUUUGCCCCG
RNAcentral lists this microRNA (21 nucleotides) under Medicago truncatula (barrel medic). Its description in RNAcentral is "mtr-miR399j". Its record names the gene mtr-miR399j. Lineage: Eukaryota; Viridiplantae; Streptophyta; Magnoliopsida; Fabales; Fabaceae. The record is from miRBase by way of RNAcentral.